UUUUUUUUUUUUUUAAACACUCUAUUUUUAAUAUAACAAAGAACGCUAAUUAUGUAAUCACACUGGUUUGAACAAAUAAAUAAAAGAAAGAUGUAUAUGAUCACAUAACAAAAAACUAAAAACUUAAAAUAUAUAUGAACAUAUUUAUAUAUCACUCUCUCUCUCUAUAUAUAUAUAUAUAUAUUGUAUAUUGUAUAUGUAUGUGUAAAUCAGAUCUUAUUACAAAUGAAAAAAAAAAUCAUUUAAAAAAAAAAAAAAAAAAUCAACAUCAAUGAGGAGAAUAGUGUGAAAAUUAUAUCUACACAUAAAAAAAAUAAAAAAAAAAAUAAAAAAGUUAAAUAUAUUUAUAUAUAUAUAUAUAUAUAUUAUAUAAUUGGUACACAAUUGAAGGCUCAUAUAUACGUUUAAAUUAUUAAAAAUUAAGAAAAAAAAAAGGAAAUAAAACAGAAGGAAUAAAAAAAAAAAAAAGGAUAAAAAAUAAAAAAAGGAUAAAAAAUAAAAAAUGAGACCUAAGUAUAUGCAGAUUUCACCAGGACAAAAAGAAAAAAAAAGUGGUGGCUCUUUUUUUAUAUUUAUUGUAUUUUUUAUAUUAGCAUUUAUCUAUAUUGGAUAUACGGGGGUAGUUUUAAGGUCUUGGUUUAAUCCAUAUAGAAAUGGCACUUUGACAAUAGCCAUUGUGUUUCAUGUCUUUUUUUUUUUGUUUUUACUAAGUUUUAUAAAAGUAAAAAAAAAAAAAAUAUAUAUACAUACUUAUACAUACUUAUUAUUUAUAGAUAAAUAUAUAUACAUGCAUAUACAUAUGCGGGUAUGCAAUUGUGUGCGUGUACAC
RNAcentral lists this long non-coding RNA (829 nucleotides) under Piliocolobus tephrosceles (Ugandan red Colobus). Its description in RNAcentral is "lncRNA (ENSPTEG00000008638.1)". The record is from RNAcentral. Lineage: Eukaryota; Metazoa; Chordata; Mammalia; Primates; Cercopithecidae.